Molecule: long non-coding RNA, 242 nt
Organism: Pipistrellus kuhlii (Kuhl's pipistrelle)
Lineage: Eukaryota; Metazoa; Chordata; Mammalia; Chiroptera; Vespertilionidae
Exons: 2
Source: RefSeq, a predicted model, not a curated record
UUAAAUUCAUAGACUUUUUGAGCAUCAACCUAAGAAGGAUUGAACAUGGACAAAAAGAGAAGCCAUCUGCAGGUAUCCAAAAUUCAGGGGGUCUGCUAAAUUUCUCACCAUUGCAAGUAGUGUCCAAUUCUCAAAAGACAUUUAAAUGCUGGUCAUUGUUCACUGAAGAGAACAUUUAAAUGCUGAUCAAGAACAUUCCUUCUGAUUAUCAAUACUAACAAUACAUUGCAAUGAUUCUUUAG